Molecule: ribosomal RNA, 358 nt
Filed under: uncultured bacterium
Lineage: Bacteria
Description: partial 16S ribosomal RNA
Rfam family: Bacterial small subunit ribosomal RNA
Source: RNAcentral
CAUACGGGAGGCAGCAGUGAGGAAUAUUGGUCAAUGGACGCAAGUCUGAACCAGCCAUGCCGCGUGCAGGAAGACGGCUCUAUGAGUUGUAAACUGCUUUUGUACGAGGGUAAACGCAGAUCCGCGUAUCUGUCUGAAAGUAUCGUACGCAUAAGUAUCGGCUAACGCCGUGCCAGCAGCCGCGGUAAUACGGAGUAUUCAAGCGUUAUCCGGAUUUAUGGGGUUUUAAGGGUGCGUAGGCGGUCGGAUAAGUUAGAGUUGAAAUCCCGAGGCUCAACGUCGGAAUUGCUUCUGAUACGUUUCGGCUAGAGAGUAGUUGCGGUAGGCGGAAUGUAUGGUGUAGCGGGGAAAUGCUUAG